UUAGUUGGUGGAGUGAUUUGUCUGGUUAAUUCCGAUAACGAACGAGACCUUAACCUGCUAAAUAGUUAGGCAAUUCCUUAGAAUUGUCGCCAACUUCUUAGAGGGACUAUCAGUGUUUAACUGAUGGAAGUUUGAGGCAAUAACAGG
RNAcentral lists this ribosomal RNA (147 nucleotides) under uncultured fungus. RNAcentral's name for it is "partial small subunit ribosomal RNA". It matches the Rfam family "Eukaryotic small subunit ribosomal RNA", at positions 1294 to 1460 of the family's 1831-position model. The record is from RNAcentral. Lineage: Eukaryota; Fungi.